ACGCAUGUUUAUGUUCUCAUCGGU
RNAcentral lists this non-coding RNA (24 nucleotides) under Arabidopsis thaliana (thale cress). Lineage: Eukaryota; Viridiplantae; Streptophyta; Magnoliopsida; Brassicales; Brassicaceae. The record is from RNAcentral.